GUCUGGGAAACUAGCCUGAUGAGGGGGAGUAACUACUGGAAACGGUAGCUAAUACCGCAUAAGACCACGAAACCGCAUGGUUUUGAGGUAAAAAACUACCGGUGGUGUGAGAUGGGCCCGCGUCUGAUUAGGUAGUUGGUGCGGUAACGGCGCACCAAGCCGACGAUCAGUAGCCGACCUGAGAGGGUGACCGGCCACAUUGGGACUGAGACACGGCCCAAACUCCUACGGGAGGCAGCAUG
This 242-nucleotide ribosomal RNA is filed under the name uncultured bacterium. RNAcentral describes it as "partial 16S ribosomal RNA". It matches the Rfam family "Bacterial small subunit ribosomal RNA", at positions 115 to 353 of the family's 1533-position model. The record is from RNAcentral.